AGCGAACGCUGGCGGCAUGCUUAACACAUGCAAGUCGCGCGGGUGGUUUCGGCCAUCAGCGGCGGACGGGUGAGUAUCGCGUAGGAAUGUAUCCCGAGGUGGGGGACAACCCUGGGAAACUGGUGCUAAUACCGCAUGUGGCCUGUGGGUCAAAGCCUUAGGGGGCCUUGGGUGCGGCCUGCGUCCGAUUAGGUAGUUGGUGGGGUAAAGGCCUACCAAGCCUGCGAUCGGUAGCUGGUCUGAGAGGACGAUCAGCCACACUGGGACUGAGACACGGCCCAGAAUCCUACGGGAGGCAGCAGUGGGGAAUAUUGGACAAUGGGCGCAAGCCAGAUCCAGCAAUGCCGCGUGGGUGAAGAAGGUCUUCGGAUUGUAAAGCCCUUUGGGCGGGGACGAUGAUGACGGUACCCGCAGAAGAAGCCCCGGCUAACUUCGUG
This 437-nucleotide ribosomal RNA is filed under the name uncultured bacterium. Its description in RNAcentral is "partial 16S ribosomal RNA". It matches the Rfam family "Bacterial small subunit ribosomal RNA", at positions 28 to 507 of the family's 1533-position model. The record is from RNAcentral.